CGCACGGGCACAGUCAGUCACCAGGAGUAAAAACAAAGACAGACGUACAGACAAGGAGCGGGCAAAACAGGUAAAUACAACGGCAAAACAGGAGCUUACUUGACAAAACGUUGGAUGACUGUAAUUUCACAAAACAGUCUGACAGAGAAAUGAGGUGAAUACUGGAGGCUAAAUAGAGUGACUAACGAUUAACACAAAACAGCUGAUGGAUCACUAGUGACAGCUUAACACAGCUGGUGAAACAUAUGACUGAGUGGUAGAACUGAACCUAGAACAGACAGGAAACCAAACAAGAAGUGUCAGAAUAAAACCGGAAAAUAAAGCAGAAAAUAACAGUGACCACCAGAUGCUGACCCAUGACACCAGGGAACUUUCAGGUUUAAAGGUCCAUGCACAUGCAAAAUUCACUUUUUGGACAUUCUGGUACGUUUAUUUGACUCCCUGGGUCAUGUUAAGACACUCCUGGUGUGUUAGAAGUACGCCCCCUACUUAUUUCACAUUUUUGAGAGUUUAUCCAAUCUGGUUCAAGAACCAUCGUUUCAAAUUUGGCGGCCUGGAUACGUCUGCAUUCGCGCUGACCAAUCACAGAACCAGCUUCGCCCCCCCCCAAACAAACCUGGACCCCUAAAUGUACCUGAAACAUUUCGUUUCAGUCACUCCAGUCACAGACAAAAGAAGAAGAAGUCACUCACUGCGUAGUCUACCAUAGGAGGUGGCGCUAAUGCACCUUUCAGUUGGUUGCCACCCGCCAUUUAAAAGACAAAAGAAGAAGAAGUCACUCAGGUUGAAGAAGCGUCCACUUGCUGCUUCCCCAAACGUAAGUACAUGCUUGAUACUUAUUUGAUGUAUGUACUCCAGAAGUUUCUCUGUUUAUAAUGUAGCUUCCCUCCUGUGUAAGGAAUGCUAAUUGCUAGAACCGUUGAAUCUAACAGCUACAGCGACAGAGAGAGACAGUGUUGCAAGGUGCUGACACGUAAUUUGGAUGAGUCCAAGCCUCUCCAGCAUUUGUCCGGUUCGAAUCGUGUGAUAUAUGGUACUGAGGUCAUUCACUCAGCUCACAUUAUAGCUGCUAGCGCGAUAGUUUCUAAUGUUUAUAAUUACUACCGAGCCUGUCGUGUGUAUGUUGUAGCCCAAGUAGACCCGGGAAUUUGGGUUAUGGCAGGUUCUAUCUAACAUGUGUGUUGUUGCUUAUCUAGUCAGCUACAGUACUUUAGCUGUAAGCGUGACAUGUUUUUUAUACAGUCUGACGCAUGCCAGCUACCGAAACGCGAGGAGGUUGCUUCUCAAACUGACACGCGGCUACCUUGUAGAAGAGUAGAAGAGUGCUCACCUCAGGAGCAAAGAUUAUGUGAAAAAUGUAAUGGAGACCAUCUUCAAUAAAGUCCUGCUGGACUCAGGUGGUUCUAUGGAGGACCUUGUGAACAUUCCUGUCCCACCGGCCCUCUGAGCAGAAUUUGAGCAACCUGAUAGAAAGGAGAGUGGUGUCAAGGAAAACAGCUGCAUCCUCCAUCUGUACAGCAGCUGCACUGCUUCCGAUGUCUUCUAACACGUGAAGACAAAAAAGAUCCUCACAUUUCCCCAGCCAACUGCUCAUGACUGUACCUGUUCCACUCCAGAAACUAUGCUUUCAACAUAACUAUGAAUCCUACCUGUUCAUUUUGUGGUCUGCAAAUUAAACUGUGACGGUAACUUAUCCAGCAUUAUAGUGCUGGUGCAUUGGUUUAAAAUAAAGUUGGCUUUGACUAUUGCUGUAUCACUGAACUAUUUUUGUAUGUAUAUACCUAAUGAGGGAAAACAGACAAAUGUUUUAUAAUAUUUCAGCUUUUAUUGAGGUAUUGCCAAAAAAAACAAUAAUUUAGGUAUUUCACAGGUGGUCUAAGUCCAACAUAGGUGCCUUGUCCCUCAGGAAACACUGCCCUGAUCCAGACCAGGAAAGGUGGGAUGACUUGGACUCUUCUCUAGAAGUCCCCAGCACCAGCUGACAAGACUUCUAGGCUAGAUACCUGCAACAACUUGAGAUACACACAGACAUAGUACUGAAAAAAACAAUAAUUUCUAUUAGUUAUAUAUUAGCACUUGAUAUAUCAUACACCUUACUAAAAGCAAUUAAAAAAUAUUAGGUCAAUAUAUAUUUAGAAACAAAACUAUGUUUGUGAACCAGAGUUCCCAGGUACAUUAUGAUUAAUCUGUAAAUAGUAAAAUGUUCUAAAUUUUUUUAUGAAUUUCUGAGAUACUGAUUUAUUCCAUGCAUGUGUAAUUGUCUGAUAUACUGUAUAUUAAAUGUGUUCUGUAAUGAAUACACAUUCAAUCAUACUGGCUCCAGUCCUCGAUCAUGAACCAUACAUGACAGUAGGUUUGGCAACUAGUUCAGGCAUC
Betta splendens (Siamese fighting fish) is the source of this 2376-nucleotide long non-coding RNA. RefSeq lists it as uncharacterized. Lineage: Eukaryota; Metazoa; Chordata; Actinopteri; Anabantiformes; Osphronemidae. The transcript is spliced from 3 exons. The record is from RefSeq and is a predicted model, not a curated record.